CUAACACAAGGACAACGAAUAACCCGAUAAUGUGUCCACAUAUCAAGUGUCUUAGCAUGUUCAACAAAUCUUUUGACACCUUCAACGAAUUCCUCCCUAAUACCCAUUCUAUUAUCAUUUUUCGUUGAUAUAUUCAGCUAUAAUCAGGUUUUAUCUACGCAAUCAAUCAGAUUCAACUAAUUAGAUCAAUUCACAAAAAUUUAACCAUUUUCAAGUAACUAAGUCAUCUACCAAGCCACAUUCAAAACAAAAAAAUCCCCUUUAAAGCCCCCACACUUAACUAUUUUCAACCAACUAAGUAUCAAAACAAAACCACAUUCAAAACACAAAAUUCCCUUCAAAGUCCCUAGACUUAACCAUUUUCAACCAAAUAAAUCACCUACCAAACCACAUUCAAAACAAAAAAAUCCUCUUUCAAGUCCCUAAACUUAAACAUUUUGAAGCAACUAAGUCACCAACCAAACAACGUUCAAAAUAAAAAAUCUCCUUUAAAGUCCCUAAACUUAACCGUUUUCAAGCAACUAAGUCACCUACCAAACCAAUUCAAAAACAAAAAAAACCCUUUAAAGUCCCUACACUCAACUAUUUUCAACCAACUAAGUGUCAAAACAAAACCAUAUUCAAAAUUAAAAAAUCCCCUUUUAAGUUCCUAAACUUAGCCAUAUUCAAGUGACUAAGUCACCUACCAAACCACAUUCAAAAUAAAAAAUCCCCUUUAAAAUCUCUACAUUUAACCAUUUUCAAUCAACUAAGUAUCAAAACAAAACCACAUUCAAAACACAAAAUCUCCUUCAAAGUCCCUAGACUUAACCAUUUUUAACCAACUAAGUCACCUACCAAACCACAUUCAAAACAAAAAAAUUCCCUUUAAAGUUCUCAAACUUAACCAUAUUCAAGUGACUAAGUCACCUAACAAACCACAUUCAAAAUAAAAAAAUCUCCUUUAAAUUCUCUACACUUAACCAUUUUCAAUCAACUAAGUAUCAAAACAAAACCACAUUCAAAACACAAAAUCCCCUUCAAAGUCCCUAGACUUAACCAUUUUUAACCAACUAAGUCACCUACCAAACCACAUUCAAAAUUAAAAAAUCCUCUUUAAAGUCCCUAAACUUAACCAUUUUAAAGCAACUAAGUCACUUAUCAAACUACAUUCAAAAUAAAAAAAUCCCCUUUAAAGUCUCUAAACUUAACCAUUUUCAAGCAACUAAGUUACCUACCAAACCACAUUCAAAAUAAAAAAAUCCCCUUUGAAGUCCCUACACUUAACCAUUUUCAAGAACUAAGUAUCAAAACAAAACCACAUUCAAAAUAAAAAAAAUCUCUUUUAAAGUUCCUAAACUUAAUCAUAUUCAAGUGACUAAGUCACCUACCAAACCAUAUUCAAAACAAAAAAAUCUCCUUUAAAGUCCCUACACUUAACCAUUUUCAACCAACUAAGUAUCAAAGCAAAACCACA
This 1456-nucleotide long non-coding RNA is filed under the name Capsicum annuum. Its description in RNAcentral is "long non-coding RNA (CANN_LNC000762)". The record is from RNAcentral. Lineage: Eukaryota; Viridiplantae; Streptophyta; Magnoliopsida; Solanales; Solanaceae.